CGUACUCAGAAACUCUCUCCGUCUCUCUCCCUCAAGCUGCUCUCGAUUUUUCUUCGAUUUGUAGACGAUCUCGAUUUUUCGUCGAAAUCGUUAAUUUCAUUUGGAUAGAGGCGUAUGCGAUCUAAAACUGGGGUGAGAUUUUGUUUGGAAGAUCGGCGAAGUUUGAUUUGCUGGGCGGAAGGACAAUAUUAGGAACGCUGUGACAGAGGUUAGUCUUGGGGCGGAACCUGUGGAACUGUGAAAGGUUGGUUCGCUAAUCUGGUAUAAGUUAGUAAUUACCAUGGUGUUGCUUGUUUAAAUGUUACAACACUGUUCUGUUAUUUUAUUUUUUUAUUGCGCUGCUAUGAAUCUUAUGGUCCAUUAGCUAUAUUUUAUGCAAUUGCGGCUUGGUUUGUUCUGCGGUUAAGGUAAAUUUGAGUGGUUGAUUACAUGCCUGGAAGACUUCAAAGAGAGGUAGAGUAACUAAUAACUAGACCCCUGUAUUCUCUUUUUGACUCCAUGUGAACUACUGUGAAAAUGCUACUGACUUUCCUCUUUUUCCUUUUUGUAUGAUGCUGAAAAUUAUAAUGAUUAUGAUGCAGAAAAUAGGGUCAUCAUUUGUUCAUGGUUAGCGCCCUUACUAGGUUAGUUACAUUUUUUGCCGUAUUUGGAGGAUGCAAUAUGAACUAGGUUGGUGCUUGAAACAACUGUUGGGAAAGUCACCUAGACUUGCUUGUAUAAAAGUAUGAUAUACUAGAACCCUGUAUUCUCCUUAGGCUUAUUCAGUCUUUUUGUUUUCCAUCUGGCUACCCAAAUAUGUUUUAUCUUUUUUUUUUCUUCAAUUAUGGUUGAUUAUCAAGUUCAUUCGCAGUAAUGGAUAAGUCAUGGAUAAUAGAAGAUAGGACAUCUGAUGCAUAUAAUAACAGAGUUGAGCAGUUCCUUAGAUUUGAUGUUCGUAACGAAGAAAAACACAAUGAAAAGCAUUCACAUAAACGUAGGAAAAACGUAUUCUUAUAAGAUGUUCAUGUUUUGAUUGUGAUAACGUUCCCCCGGGUCUGACCAUUGCUGAAGUAAGAUCCCAUUUAUUUCAUACUGGGUUUGGCAUGGGGAAGAUGUUGGGCAUAUUCCAACUGCAGUUUUACCUUCAACAGCACUCAUGCUUGCAGUGAUUGCAGGAUGCAAAAGUGUUGUUCUGGCUACUCCCCCAGGAAAAGAUGGCAGCAUCUGCAAGGUUUUUAAUGUUCUCUUUCUCUUUAGGAGGUGCUUUUCCAUGAAUGCAGGCCAUUUCAGCCAUGGCGUGGGGGACUUCAUCUUGCCCUUAGGUGGAGCAAUUUUUGGACCUGGAAAUCAGUAAGACAGCUGCAAAAAUGAUUUUCCAGUGAAAUGAUGGUUUCAAUUGACAUGCCUGCUGGCCCAUCUGAAGUUCUGGUUGUUGCUUAGAGGUAGAUGGAAUAUUUUGUUUACAAUCUACUAUAAGAUUUAGGGUCUGUCUUUUAGUUAGACAAUCUUUAUAUGUUGGUGAAGCAAGGUACUUUGUUUCUGUUGGUGGAGGCAUUACCGAAGUUCGAAGGUUCCGUUCUAGUUUCCAUACCGCACAGAGUGGUUUAACCUUGAGCAAGGUAAACCAUCGCUCCUGUGCUUUAACUUUUGUUAUGCUUCUUGUUUUUCUUCUCUUCACUCUUUUUAUGGUCAAUAUGGUAUAUUCUUGUUUUUACGUGUAUUUGGUUUGUCUGCAUAGUUUAGGGGUCAGAAUUCUAUGCUAGCUAUUGAACAAGUACCAGGUUAUUAGUUCUGGAAGUUGGCCCUUGAUUUCAAGGUACAGGGCAUGUUUACUUACUCAAUCCCUUGGAGAGAACAUGACCCUAAGAUGGAAAUUGUUCCCAAGUAAGUUAGUCAUUUUCCUUCGGAUAGAUAAUACUUGUUUCUUGGUUGCUAGAUACACUUAAAUCUACCAUCAGAACGAGAAACAAAAAAAGGCCAAUUCUGCUUAGGGUACUUGCCUAUCUUUCUCUGUCUCAGUUCAUCAAUACGUCUAACGUUAGAGGGUUGUGAAGGCUUGCUGCAGAAGAAGGCGUACAAAAUACUCUCCAUUAGUCACGAGGUUGUCAUGGAUUGUGCAAGUCUUUGACUUUUCAGAUUUAACAUCAUUCUCCAGUGUUAGUGGUUGACACUAUUUGCUUGAUCUUACUUGUAGUGCUUCAGGGAAUAGUCUAAAUGAGCUUGUUCUGAUGUUAAGGAUCUGUGUGUUGGUACCCUUGGUUUGAGUUAAACAAGUAGAAUCUGCAGAAAUGUGUAAUUUUUUUAUUUUCUUGUUCAGAAAUGAAUUUGAUUCUGAAGGCAAUGGAAUAUAGUUUUUCUAUUAGCCUUUUCGAUUUUGUCUGUAAUUUUUAAAUUUGAA
Molecule: long non-coding RNA, 2377 nt
Organism: Papaver somniferum (opium poppy)
Lineage: Eukaryota; Viridiplantae; Streptophyta; Magnoliopsida; Ranunculales; Papaveraceae
Exons: 7
Source: RefSeq, a predicted model, not a curated record